UACGUAGGUGGCGAGCGUUGUCCGGAUUUAUUGGGCGUAAAGCGCGCGCAGGUGGUUGGGUAAGUCUGCUGUGAAAUCUCCCGGCUCAACUGGGAGGGGGCGGUGGAGACUGCCUAACUGGAGGGCCCUAGAGGCCGGUGGAAUUCCCGGUGUAGUGGUGAAAUGCGUAGAGAUCGGGAGGAACACCUGUGGCGAAGGCGGCCGGCUGGGGGGACCCUGACGCUGAGGCGCGACAGCGUGGGGAGCGAACCGGAUUAGAUACCCGGGUAGUCCACGCCGUAAACGAUGGCCACUAGAGGUGGGGGGUAUCGACCCCCUCCGUCUCGGCGCUAACGCAGGAAGUGGCCCGCCUGGGGAGUACGGCCGCAAGGCUAAA
RNAcentral lists this ribosomal RNA (376 nucleotides) under uncultured bacterium. RNAcentral describes it as "bacterial SSU rRNA". It matches the Rfam family "Bacterial small subunit ribosomal RNA", at positions 524 to 898 of the family's 1533-position model. The record is from RNAcentral.